This 620-nucleotide unclassified non-coding RNA is filed under the name Hevea brasiliensis (rubber tree). Lineage: Eukaryota; Viridiplantae; Streptophyta; Magnoliopsida; Malpighiales; Euphorbiaceae. The record is from RNAcentral.
UCAUCUAUCAUUGCAGCUUUGUACCUUAAGAGAAGUGAAAUACCAAGAAAGCCAAAAACAAAUAAAUGAAAAAACACCACAACAGAUGUACCAUUUGUGGGGCAACAACAAACCAGGCACUAUACAUUACAAAGAUAGCUGCCCUCCCAGUUUGAAGCAUAUACAACAUUAAGAAAAUAGUAAUGUAACUGAAUAUGACACAUAAAAGCAUACAUUCCAAGAUUAUACAUUUGCACAAAGGCAACUUUUCUCCCUCUUUUCUGGCCAUUAACUAACACCUGAAUUCGCAUAUUGUAAUUUUACAACCAGAAAAAUCCAAAGCUUACCCAAGUCCACCAAUGACAUAUAUUGGAUUUGUACUUAGGGGUUCAGUUAGUCCAAAAUUUAUCUAGUAUUGGCAUCUUUGAACUUCAGUCAAAUAGCCUAGGAGAACUCCUUGAGAACAAGAAGCAAAUGGUAGAUAGGAUUCUAUAUAAAAUGAAACCCAUCAGGCUCUACUUUGCAAGUUUCAGACUUAAGUAUUUAUAUUUGAAAGUAUUUCAAGACAUACCCACUUAUUCUCUUACCGAUGAGUGUAUUACACAUUAAAAGGCGAACGCACUCACACACACACACACACA